AGUGAACGCUGGCGGUAGGCCUAACACAUGCAAGUCGAACGGCAGCACAGUAAGAGCUUGCUCUUACGGGUGGCGAGUGGCGGACGGGUGAGGAAUACAUCGGAAUCUACUUUUUCCUGGGGGAUAACGUAGGGAAACUUACGCUAAUACCGCAUACGACCUACGGGUGAAAGCAGUGGAUCUUCGGACCUUGCGCGAUUGAAUGAGCCGAUGUCGGAUUAGCUAGUUGGCGGGGUAAAGGCCCACCAAGGCGACGAUCCGUAGCUGGUCUGAGAGGAUGAUCAGCCACACUGGAACUGAGACACGGUCCAGACUCCUACGGGAGGCAGCAGUGGGGAAUAUUGGACAAUGGGCGCAAGCCUGAUCCAGCCAUACCGCGUGGGUGAAGAAGGCCUUCGGGUUGUAAAGCCCUUUUGUUGGGAAAGAAAAGCAGCAGGUUAAUACCCCGCUGUUCUGACGGUACCCAAAGAAUAAGCACCGGCUAACUUCGUG
Molecule: ribosomal RNA, 492 nt
Filed under: uncultured bacterium
Lineage: Bacteria
Description: partial 16S ribosomal RNA
Rfam family: Bacterial small subunit ribosomal RNA
Source: RNAcentral